Molecule: long non-coding RNA, 1172 nt
Organism: Danio aesculapii
Lineage: Eukaryota; Metazoa; Chordata; Actinopteri; Cypriniformes; Danionidae
Exons: 7
Source: RefSeq, a predicted model, not a curated record
GUAUUAACUUAAAUCAUUAAAAUUCGUUAAUCUUAAUUAACCUAGAUGAGUAUUUAGAACUUUUUCUUAUUUUUGAGUUUGUAAAAAUUAAAUCUUUCAAGUAAGGUGAACGAUUUUGCUGUGUUUAAUUUAUACAAAAUGUCUCUUUAAAGUUUCAUUAACUCAAAAUCUUUCAGCCCAGUGAUUUUGCGUGUGACGUCAUCCAGGUUCACGUACGUUCUCGUGCUUCAUUCGUUUUUUCAAGAUGGCGGAUCGGCCUCGCUUCACACUACACUUGUUGCAUGCUGAUCCAUACACGAGAGCCUAACGGAGAACAUUUAAGCUGUGCUCCUCACCUGAGCAGAAUUGAAGGUCGGUUGUUGCUGACUACAGAAAGAUUCUUAUAUGGAGGCAUGUAAAAGCAAGGAAAGUGAAACUUCAGCUAGACCUUGAGUUCAGUUUACAAUAUGAAGAUCCUGAUAUCAACAUCUGAUCUGAUCAACACCUGAUUUUCAUCUGAGCUGCAGAGUACCAACAUGUUACAAAUGAGAAUUUUCCCCACAAAUUCUUUGGACAACCGCACCACCACCAAUUUCAUUUGAUGACAAUUUUAAGGCAAACAGCAUCCAAAACUGACAAGACAGCAGAUACCCUGGCUAAUCUUUUGAAGGUUUAUGAUGAGCAGGAACUGCAUGAUGUCAGUUCAUGAUGGACUACUGUUAUCAGAGGUCUUUUGGUCUUGCUGCGUGAGCGUGACUGGGGAUUCUUUAGGACCAUCCUGAUUAAUAAUCCUGAAGUGCUGACUGAAGAUGCUUUAUUGGCCCUGCAGUCACUGAGGGUCUCUGCUGUCCUGAAGAAUGAAUUGGACACCACCCACAGCACACUUCCAGACCUUUUUUGUCUUGUUUGGAUUAAUGUAAGCUCUUCACAUAAUAUAUAGUAAAGGACUUUGAACUUGUACAAAAAGUUUUGCUUGGCAUGGAUGAUAGAAAAUAGAAAGUCGAUUAGCAUAGAAUCCUUAAAGAAUGAGUUGAUGUAGAGCCUUUUUUUGUACUCAAUAAAGACUGUCACUGGGGUAGUAACUUCAAAACAUGAAUGUACCUUUAAUUGGUAAUGGUGCAUUUUAUUAUAUAUAUAUAUAUAUAUAUAUAUAUAUAUAUAUAUAGAGAUAGAUUGUCUAAAACGUAAAAUUC